Syzygium oleosum is the source of this 790-nucleotide long non-coding RNA. RefSeq lists it as uncharacterized. The transcript is spliced from 2 exons. NCBI's taxonomy places the organism in Eukaryota, Viridiplantae, Streptophyta, Magnoliopsida, Myrtales, Myrtaceae. The record is from RefSeq and is a predicted model, not a curated record.
CUUGACCUCGUGCAGAUCUGGGCGAGGUCGAGCGGCCCCGCCCAUUGCUGCUCGACCUCGCCGUCGCCCAGAUCUGGGCGAGGGCGAGGGCGAGCGGUGGCCAUGGGAGAGGCCGGGAUCCGGUGCUUCGUCGCCGAGGGCCCCGCAAUCUCCCAGCCGAGGACCGCCGGCGGGGGACUGGUUGAUUGCGUGGUGGUCGGGGGCGGGAUCAGCGGGCUCUGCAUCGCCCAGGCGCUCACCACGAAGCACCGCGACAAGGCCCCCGACGUGGUCGUCACCGAGGCCAGGGACCGCGUCGGUGACGACCACGUCGUCAGAUUUCCGUCCCUUCAUCGCGUUAUUUUCCACUGAAUGCAUCUUCAGACGUACUUCUUCUCCAGGUAUUACAAACUACAGAACACUCUCCAAUCUGCAUUUUGUACUUGAUAUGAAGGCUAUGUUACUCUAAUGUUCAUAUGCAGUUGGAUCUAUAUACCGCAUCCAAUGGAGUUCUAAUUAGAAAUGCUGCCAGAACUAAUCCCAAAGAUCCUUCUAUCGAGUUGGGACCUGAAUUUGAUAAGUUGGGAAGUUUUGUGAGCCGCUUCGAGUCUAUUCCCAGUGUAGUUGAGUUGGAUAGCUUGAAAGUCACUGGUGAUGUGUAGUUUGGAAAUGGCAUUAAGCUCAAGGUAUAGACAUUGCGCUUGGCAUUUGUUUUUAUAUACUUUGUCCGAUUAUUGAGGAUCUACUACAAAUUUAUGGGACCUACAGUAAAACCCAUCAGACCACCGGUUAAAUUGUGAAGAUUUGCUUA